AGAACGAACGCUGGCGGCAUGCCUAACACAUGCAAGUCGAACGCUCAUCCGGCUUCGGCCGGAUGGGAGUGGCGCACGGGUGAGUAGCGCGUGGGAACCUGCCCUGUUGUGGGGGAUAACCGAGGGAAACUUCGGCUAAUACCGCAUGCGCCCCGGCGAAAGCCGGGGGAAAGAUUUAUCGCAGCAGGAGGGGCCCGCGUCGGAUUAGGUAGUUGGUGGGGUAACGGCCCACCAAGCCGAUGAUCCGUAGCUGGUCUGAGAGGAUGAUCAGCCACACUGGGACUGAGACACGGCCCAGACUCCUACGGGAGGCAGCAGUGGGGAAUAUUGGACAAUGGGGGCAACCCUGAUCCAGCAAUGCCGCGUGAGUGAUGAAGGCCUUAGGGUUGUAAAGCUCUUUCGCCCGCGACGAUGAUGACGGUAGCGGGAGAAGAACGCCCCGGACUAACGUUCGUGCCAGCAGCCGC
This 467-nucleotide ribosomal RNA is filed under the name uncultured bacterium. Its description in RNAcentral is "SSU rRNA". It matches the Rfam family "Bacterial small subunit ribosomal RNA", at positions 26 to 518 of the family's 1533-position model. The record is from RNAcentral.